RNAcentral lists this long non-coding RNA (436 nucleotides) under Phoenix dactylifera (date palm). RNAcentral's name for it is "long non-coding RNA (PDAC_LNC000080)". The record is from RNAcentral. Lineage: Eukaryota; Viridiplantae; Streptophyta; Magnoliopsida; Arecales; Arecaceae.
UUCUUCUUUUUUUUUUUUGCCGUAGCUAUCCAAACACCAUUGCACCCAGUAAUUUUAUUGUGCGUUAUUGGUGCUAGUAAUAUAUCAAAAAAAAUUAUUUUAAGUUGCUCCAGCUGUAGAUACUUUUUCGGCGGCAUUGACGUCAAUUUAUUGGUUGUUCUUUGGAUUCUGCUCCCACCAUCUACAUCCUAAACUUUGCCAAGUUCGGAACGCAACCUGCUCAUUAAUGGAGGGACAACCCUAUCCUCCAUGAAUGGAUGGAACCAAUGCUUAUGAAAUGACACCGCCAAGGCACUCCUUAACCAUUUAGCCCACCAACUGAUUAAUUUCCAAACUCUCUUAUUUCUUUUCUCCCAAAAACAACAAACUCUCUUAUUUCCUUUCUCCCAAAAACAACAAACUCUCUUCAAAAACUUUAAUAAUUAAUUAAGCUGUU